ACAUUUUUUACAAUUUCAUUUUUAAUAAAAGAUGUCUUAGUCCAAUUGAAAUACCUAGCCAAAUGGGGAUUCAAAUACACGUGGCACAUUUCUAAUGGUUCACAUACACCCAACAUAGAGAAAUGCUAUUGGUAGCUGACAUGUAAGAUUGGUCAUAUUACAAAUAAAUCUCAGUUUUGCAACGUAUUUUUCGUAUUCUAAUUUUGUUCUCAUGCAUAUAUUCACAACAGGUGCAACUUCUCCAAUAAAUAUUGGAUGCAAUAGUAGGUUUAUUUUAGUGGUGUUUCUUAGCAAUAUGAAGUUUAAAAUGGCACAAAGUAACAUAGGUCUCGGUGUCAUCUCUCAUCUAAUCAUUCAUGUGGUUUGCAUGCUUUUAUUUGAAAUUUUCUAUUGAUUAUUGACACUUUUUUGAUUUAUUUGAAACUCUUCGUUCUUUCUUUUUUGAAAUUUUAUUUUUUGUGAUGUUAUGUUUAGCAGUUAAUUAAAUAAAGAAGGUGGGUUGAAUUUGAAAAUGAUUUAGAACAAUUUGAAAAUAGUUUAGAACAUUUGCUGAAUAAUAACAAUUUGAGAGACAUUCUUGGGAAAAAAAAUGAAAAAAUUAAUAAUAGAAAAUACCUUAUUAACUUUGUUUAAAUACUUGAGAUGAUUCUCUAGUACUAGGUAGCAUAUUUGAUUUGCCUCUCUACUUAACAAUCAUAGAUUCAUGAAGUUCAUAUAGUUCAUAUAGUGAGGUGGAAACUAAUCCAGUUCUAUUUUACCUGUAAGAAAGGGAAGUUAAAUUUUUUUUGAUUAUUUUCUGUUGAAUAUUAAGGUUUCUAUUUUUCCCCAUUUUGAUUUUAUGGAGAAUUGAAUUUUUCAAAAAGAUCAUCAGGCCAUUGAUAUCCUUCUAGUAGAGAUUGAUAUAUAAGAGCUUUUUGCUUUCAAACAGUGCAAGGGAAGGAAGGUUAAGCUUGCUCUUUGUGAAGGAUCAAAGUAAUGGUGUGUUGAGCUUAGCAAAUGUCAAAUGCAAGUUGUUGCAUUGGGAGGGGUCAAACUUGGUGGUUGCAGAAGGCCAAAUUGCAUCAAGGGAUCCCAAGUCAAAGGUGCAUUAUGCAACUCUUGGACCUUUAUGUUGGAAAGUAUGGGUAAACCACGUAACAGUCAACGUGCUGUUGUUUCGUUCUACUCAUGAGAUGUAUGAUCUUCAAGAUGCAAUAGGAAGUACAGUUGCAUGGCCUAGUCAAUUCAUUAUUUUGGACUAAAUAUUAGACUAAUUGAUUUACGAUUUGUAGUUAUACUUUUUGGAUGUUUAAAGUCGUAUUUUAGAGAUUAGUGAAUCUUAUGAUUUGGAUAAUUUUUUUGAUUUGUAUGUUUGAGGUUGUUAUCAGCUUGAUAUGAUAGAAGUUGAGGAU
This is a non-coding RNA of Camellia sinensis, 1391 nucleotides long. NCBI's taxonomy places the organism in Eukaryota, Viridiplantae, Streptophyta, Magnoliopsida, Ericales, Theaceae. The record is from RefSeq and is a predicted model, not a curated record.